GAACAAGCAAGACAGAGUACGAGGUGGAUGCCUAGGCGCUGAAGGCCGAAGAAGGACGCGGAGACCGGCGAAACGUUCAGGGGGAGCUGCAUGCGAGCGAGGAGCCCUGAGAAUCCGAAUGGGGCAACCCGUCCAGAGUGAUGUCUGGACAUCGGCGGCUGAAUCCAUAGGCCGCACGAAGGGCAGCAGGUGAACUGAAACAUCUCAGUAGCCUGACGAAAAGAAAUCAACCGAGAGUCCCGUAGUAGUGGCGAGCGAACCGGGAAGAAGCCCAAACCAUCCGCUCUCGCAAGAGAGCGGGCGGGGUUGUAGGACCGACAGAAGGAAUGAGGAGCUGAACUCGAAGGUACUGGAACGUACCACCGCAGCGGGUGAGAGUCCCGUAGAGGCAGGCGAGACAUUCUGGUUGGGAUCCUGAGUACCACGGGACACGUGCAAUCCUGUGGGAAGCAGGGGGGACCACCCUCCAAGGCUUAUUACCUUCAGCGACCGAUAGUGAACAAGUACCGUGAGGGAAAGGUGAAAAGCACCCCGAGAGGGGGAUGAAAGAGACCCUGAAACCACGUACUCACCAGCAGUCAGAGGUCACUGUGUCAGCACGACACUAAGGACUGAUGGCGUGCCUUUUGUAGAAUGAUCCGGCGAGUACAUCGUCGUCGCGUUGAGGUUAACCUCCGGUAAAGGAGGGGAGCCACAGGGAAACCGAGUCUGAAGCGGGCGAGAGAGUGGCGACGAUGAGACCCGAAACCGCGUGAGCUAUCCAUGGGCAGGGUGAAGCGGAUGUGAAAGUCCGUCGAGGCCCGCACUCACCAGUGUUGCAAAACUGGGGGAUGACCUGUGGAUAGGGGUGAAAUGCUAAUCGAACGCGGAGAUAGCUGGUUCUCCCCGAAAUGCAUUGAGGUGCAGCGGUACAGCAGCAGUCAUGGAGGUAGAGCGCUGGAUGGGCGCGGGGCCAAGUGCUGGUUACCAAUCCCAACCAAACUGCGAAUGCCAUGAGUGAGCGCGUGCCAGUGAGACGGCGGGGGCUAAGCUUCGUCGUCAAAAGGGAAACAGCCCAGACCAGCAGCUAAGGUCUCCAAGUGGAUGCUCAGUGGAAAAGGUAGUCAUCGCGCCCAAACAGCCAGGAUGUUGGCUUAGAAGCAGCCAUCAUUGAAAGAGUGCGUAAUAGCUCACUGGUCGAGUGAGGUGGCGCCGAGAACGUAUCGAGGCUCAAGCAUCCCACCGAAGCUCUGGAUCGAGUCCACGCCCUUCCCGUGCUUGCACAGGAGCGGCAGAGGUGAACUCGAUGGUAGGGGAGCGUUCUUGAGAGCUGGGAAGCCAGACCGGAAGGACUGGUGGAGCCAAGAGAAGUGCGAAUGCCGGAAUGAGUAGCGUCAGUGAUGUGUCAACCAUCACCACCGAAUGCCUGAGGGUUCCUGGGCACCGUCAAUCGACCCAGGGUGAGUCGGGCCCUAAGCCGAGGACGUUAGAGUCGUAGGCGAUGGAAAGCAGGUUGGAUACUCCUGCACCAGAGCGUGUCGUGAUGAGCGAGGAGGGGACGCGGUAGGGAAGGUGAACCCAUCGAAUGGACAGGAUGGGCUGCCCACCGGAAGGCGGAGAUCGAGGAAAACCCCGAUUUCGGAUCGUUGACCGGGGGCACGAGUCCGCGCAAGCGGGCGGAAGUCACUGGCCCCCAGGCCGCCCAGAAAAGCCUCUAGCCAGACAGCGCUCUGCCCGUACCGCAAACCGACACUGGUAGGCAGAGAGGAAUUCUCUUCAGGUGGACGAGCGACCCUCUGUUAAGGAACUCGGCAAAUUGACCCCGUACCUUUGGAAGAAGGGGUGCCCUAGUAAGUUGUCACCUUCGGGUGAUGAGUGAGGGGGCCGCAGAAAAUCGGCUCAAGCGACUGUUUACCAAAAACACAGGUCUCUGCGAAGGCGAAAGCCGACGUAUAGGGGCUGACUCCUGCCCAGUGCCGGAAGGUGAAUCUCUCUCGUGAUCGUAGCGGGAGGGCGAAGCCCCGGUGAACGGCGGCCGUAACUAUAACGGUCCUAAGGUAGCGAAAUUCCUUGUCGGGUAAGUUCCGACCCGCACGAAAGGAGUAACGACUUGAGCACUGUCUCAACAGGGGACUCGGCGAAAUUGCAGUACCCGUGAAGAUGCGGGUUACCCACGACAGGACAAAAAGACCCCGUGGAGCUUUACUACAACGUGGCCUGGAGAUGAGGCGAUCAUUGCGUAGGAUAGGUGGGAGCCAGUGAACCCAUCCUUGUGGGGGUGGGGGAGGCAAUGGUGAAAUACCACUCUGUGAUGGUGUUAUCUCUCAUGCUCAUCCGUGAUCCGGAGAGCAGACAGGGCCAGGCGGGUAGUUUGACUGGGGCGGUCGCCUCCCAAAGAGUAACGGAGGCGCCCCAAGGUUCCCUCAGGGUGGAUGGACAUCACCCGGAAGAGUGCAAAGGCAGAAGGGAGCUUGACUGCGAGGCGGACAGGCCGAGCAGGGACGAAAGUCGGGCUUAGUGAUCCCACAUUCCCGAGUGGAAGGAGUGUGGCUCAACGGACAAAAGCUACCCCGGGGAUAACAGGCUGAUCCUGCCCAAGAGUUCACAUCGACGGCAGGGUUUGGCACCUCGAUGUCGGCUCGGCGCAUCCUGGGGCUGGAGUAGGUCCCAAGGGUUGGGCUGUUCGCCCAUGAAAGCGUCACGCGAGCUGGGUUCAGAACGUCGUGAGACAGUUCGGUCUCUAUCCGUCGUGGGCGGUGGAAGAUUGAGGGGCGUCAUCUCCAGUACGAGAGGACCGAGAUGGCUCGACCGCUGGUGAGUCAGUUGGCCUGCCCGGGCCAUGGCUGGGUAGCUAUGUCGAGAACGGAGAAACGCUGAAAGCAUCUAAGCGUGAAGCCGCACCCAAGAUGAGUCUUCCCACUGUUCUUCGGGACAGUCAAGAUCCCAGGAAGACGACCUGGUUGAUAGACCGCAGGUGGACGCCUGGUAACAGGUGAAGCUGAGCGGCCCUAAUGAUCGAACGGCUUGUCUCA
Molecule: ribosomal RNA, 3011 nt
Filed under: Chloroflexota bacterium
Lineage: Bacteria; Bacillati; Chloroflexota
Description: 23S ribosomal RNA
Rfam family: Bacterial large subunit ribosomal RNA
Source: RNAcentral